RNAcentral lists this ribosomal RNA (253 nucleotides) under uncultured bacterium. RNAcentral's name for it is "partial 16S ribosomal RNA". It matches the Rfam family "Bacterial small subunit ribosomal RNA", at positions 524 to 776 of the family's 1533-position model. The record is from RNAcentral.
UACGGAGGGUGCAAGCGUUAUCCGGAUUUACUGGGUUUAAAGGGUGUGUAGGCGGACUUUUAAGUCAGCGGUGAAAUCUCCGGGCUCAACCCGGAAACUGCCAUUGAUACUAUUGGUCUUGAAUGUUGUUGAGGUGGGCGGAACGGGUCAUGUAGCGGUGAAAUGCAUAGAUAUGACCCGGAACACCGAUUGCGAAGGCAGCUCACUAAGCAAUGAUUGACGCUGAGGCACGAAAGCGUGGGGAUCAAACAGG